RNAcentral lists this long non-coding RNA (15578 nucleotides) under Populus trichocarpa (black cottonwood). RNAcentral's name for it is "long non-coding RNA (PTRI_LNC001118)". Lineage: Eukaryota; Viridiplantae; Streptophyta; Magnoliopsida; Malpighiales; Salicaceae. The record is from RNAcentral.
GCAUGUUGUGUGUGCAAGAUUCUGCACUUCAUAGACCAAACAUGGCAUCAGUUGUGGUAAUGCUGGAGAGCAGCACAACAAGCAUUCCAUUGCCUAGGCAACCCACUUUCACUUCUGUCAGAGCCUCUAUAGACCCUGAAAUCUCUCUGGAAGUGCAAGAAGUAGCAUCGUCAAGCGACUUGACAGUGAAAGUGGUAGCAGGCAGAUGAUUACAAUCUUUCCUUUUCUGUUCCUCUGCAUUCCUUGUUUUAUAUGUUCAUAUGUUAGUUUAGUUGGAAAACAGAGUAUAUUUGUAAAGGUCUUUUGUCAAUCAAUUUUUUACAAAAACAAAACUAUUUUUUGUGCUCUAUAAAUUGAUACUGUGGUUUCUUUUAAUCAGCAAUUACCAAUGAGGUAAUGGAUUGACAGCAGACUCAUUACAGGUUUAGGCCAAAAGCACUUUCACAAUCAGAAAAGAAACUGGCACCAAAAGCACUGUGGCCAAUAAUCAUCUGUGCAAGCCAGCCAGCAAUUCUGACCGCAUUUCAAUUGUAAAAUGAGAUUUCAAUGCUUGUUGCAGGCCCAGCAAGAAAUGUAAUGCGGAUGAACCUUGAGCGACACAUGCUUAAAAACCGCAUGCCCACCUAUGUAAGAAUGUUUGAUCAUAGAACAUUAAAAUUUGUGAUCUAGAAAGAGUUGAAAAUUCUACGAGAUUGAAUGUUUAUUGGAACUAUAAUAGACUGAGAAAUGACUAGCAAUUCAAGAAUUCAUCAAGCUAGUCAUUGAUGGGUGGCGGUUCCAACACCGGUCAUUCCUUUGACUCUUUUGGUGAAAAUAAUUUAUAUCUCUUGACGUGCUCUACACUAAUAUUAAAAAGGACUAUGAGAUCAAAAGAUAAAAGGAAAAAAUUAUUCAUGUAUAUUUCUUCAAUAUUUACCUUCCAUAUUUAAAAAAAAAAUCUAAUUGAAGUGAAAGGAUUUGUAAAAAUUAUAAUGCUAAAAUAAUCAUGUUUUCUACAUAGUAUUUUCUUAGAGUUUAAUUUUUUGAUUUUUUUUAUUUCCUUAGAAUUAAUCUUAAAGCUUUUAUAAAAACAUUUAUUGAUAAACAUACAGUGCUAAAUAUGUUAGUUUCUACUAGCUUAUUGGUUUGUGCUUCGGGUGGGAUAUAAAUUUCUUAAAAUAUAAAAAAUAUAUUUAGAUUAUUAAAAAUUUGCUAGCAUUAUCAUUUAACUUGAUAUGAUGUUUUAAAUUUAAAAAAAUCUUUACCCAACUCUUAGAUUGAUAUUUAAUCAGUCUGACAACCUCGCGAUCUAGAUUAUAAACUCCACUAGAUUGAAUUAAUUUUUAAUUUUGUUAUAUGAUAAAAAAAUAAAAAAAUUGAUUUACCAUUAACUAAAUACCAAAUAAUAAAAUUGAAAAAAACUAUACACUCAAUAAUAAAAUUAAAAAAAAUAUAAAAAAAAGGCCAAAAAAUCCCAGCCUAACUUUUUUAUUCAUAUUUAAUUAAACAUGUGAUUUAAGUUAUGGACUUCACUAGGUCAAUUUCAUUUCUAUUUUAUUUUAUAAUAAAAAAAUCAAAAAUUGAUUUACUAUCAAUUAAUACUCAAGUAUAAAAUUCAAGAAAAAACCUCAAACUAAAUGACUUGAAAAAAUAAAAUAUUAAAAAAAGGUUAAAAAAUCCCAACCCAACUUUUUAAUUAAUAUUUAGUCAACUCAUCAAACUCAUAAUUUCAAUUAUAAACUUUUUUGGUUUGAUUUAAUUAUGUUUUAUUAUAUAAUAAAAAAAACAUAAAAAAUGAUUUACUAAGGAUAAACUUAAAUAAAAUCCCCACACACAUUAGACAAUGAAAUUAUAUAUAUAUAUAUAUAUAUAAACAUGAAAAAAAUGGUCAAGAAGGCCCAUGUAUAUAUAAAAAAUACAAACAAAAAAAGACAACAGUUUAUCUGUGUUUAAUUCAACGAAAUUAGAGCGUGCUCCCCAGCUCAAACCCAUGACCUCGGACCUGCCGUACACGCUGAUCACUCGAGCUAAGUCACAGAAGUGAUUUAAAACGAUGAAAAAACAUAUUUUAAGAUGUAAGACCGAUUCCACCCGUUUUAGUUGUUUUUAUAAUACAAUAAGAGCACAUGUCAGGGGUAUAUGCUAAGGAGUGCACUGUGCAAGAGAUUGUUCAUAUGCAGAAGCAGUUCUGUAUUGGCAUCCCAUCAAUAUGAAGUUUCAGUGGAAGAGCUUCUCAUAUACUCUUACAUAUAUAUAUAUAUAUAUAUAUAUAUAUAUAUAUAUAUAUAUAUAUAUAAAUGACUUUCUGUUAAACAGAGGAUGUAUACGUCUCCUGAGAAUGCACCAGGUGGGAUAUUCUCUGAAAAAUCUGACAUCUUAAGCUAAGGAUCAUGCUGGCAAAAGAAACAUCGUUGUGUCGAAAUUUAUAUUGGUCUUUGGUAUUCUUGCAUUAGUUCUGGUGUUUGGUAUUCUUGCAUUAGUUCUGGUGUUCGUAAAUAGCCUAAAGCCGUUUGAUUGUUUGGUCCGUGUGAUUUACAUGCAGGAGACCCUUCUUUCAUAUUUCCCAUGGAUGUGGGAUUUAGUGUCCAUCACUUCAUGCCUUAUUGCUCGUGUAAGUGCCUCCCUAUCAUUAUUGGCCUUGUUGUCUAUGUUGGUUUCGGAGGCGGAGCAAGAAAAAAUAAUUAAAGAGGGUCAAAUUAAAAUAAUUAUUUUAAAUUAUUUUAUACAAGAGAGGAGGUGGGAAAAAUUUUCUUGCAGGGGCCGGGGCACGGAGGCUAACAACCCCUGCUUUCUCUCCUCUUCGAAUUAUACUAGUUAACAACCACAUCUCCUUCAAGUCUAAAGGAUGCUAAAAUCACUGCACGAUGAUCCGUGCAUCCUAUGGCCUCACACCUCCUCCACACUGCAUCCAAGAACUGUUUGGGUAAUCAAAAUCAUUUACCCUUUUGAAGGUGGGAGGUGCCAGCUUCAAGAACUCAAAUAGUAGCACCUUCACUUCAUGCAUUAUCUAUGAAGGCGCAUUGUUGUUCCUUUCCCUCUCUUCCAUGAGGUUGGUUGGGGUUUGUAUAGCCUGACCAAUCCUAUCACCACUAGCAGGAGGUGCUUCCCUAGUGGAUUCUUGAUCCACAAUCGGAUUCCUGUCUUCACCUCCUCCUCCUACUAACAACACAAUUCUUAGCCUCAUCCUUCAUAAACAGUGGUAGAGGUAGAGGGUUCCUGGCCUUACCCCUUAUCUUGGGUUUCUAAGUUGAACCAAAAUAAUCUCAUCCGGAUCAUUGUGGCCUCAGCCCCGACCAACAUUUCCUACAUGUUUAUCCCUCGGCAUAUUCCUAAUAAGAACACACGUAUGACAACAUAACAAUAAAAUGAGUUCAAGGAAGACAUAUAAAACAUGGAAUUGAAGCAUUCAAAGAAGAAUGAUGGCAAGACAAGACAGAUGCUAAGCUCUAUAGUUUACAAAACAAAGUUUUAGUAAAAACAAAUUUUUUUGAUAAAAAGACAAGUUUUACAAACCAAGCUCUGAUAACACCUUUGUCAUGACCCGAUUCCCACGCCCAUGAUCAGCAACGCAAACGUAGCACCUUAAGGUGUCCUGUCUAUGCCAAGCCUUAAAAUUUACACAUUUGAUAUCAUAAAAAUCAUAAACUAAAAUAUCCAAAAAAAUGAGGAAUUCUAUUAAUAAAUUAAUAUUUGAGUCUUUCAUAAAUAAUUCAAAACAAAUUCAAAACAUAAUUAAAAUUAUUUUGUAGAGUAUCUAUGAAUAACAAAUAAAGAAUAAAUUAUUGGCUUUGAGGAACAAAUGAGGCAUAUCUACUCAAGAAGCGAAAAAAACAUAGCCAAAAGAUCCUGCUACUGAAAUUGAACUAAGAACCUAAAAAAUAUGAAUGGAGGGGUGAGUUCAAACACUCAGUGAGAGGUGAUAACUAUAAUAUAUGCUAAUAUACAUUUUAAGAUAAGUGAAUAUACAUAAAUCAAGUACCGAACAAAACAUGUAUAUCAAAUGUAUCAUAUUAAAUGGUAUGUAAAAGAAGUAUACAUGUCAAAAUUACAUAACAUAUCAUAUUACUGACAUCAUAUAUAUAUAUAUAUAUAUAUAUAUAUAUAUAUAUAUAUAUAUAUAUAUAUAUAUAUAUAUAUAUAUAUAUUGUGGGAGGCCAAACGUACAGUAUUGGCACCCUGCUCGUCAGCUAGGAAACACAAUACCAUGUGUACAUAGAUUAACUACUCUCUGUUAGUGUUAGGACCUCAAUGCCGGGCAUAUGACUGGCAAAACAGAAGCAGUGUCAUGAGGACACCAUACCUAUGCUAAGCCUCAAAACUUACUUAUCAUAAAACAAAUUAUAUAAAAUACGUGUUACAUUACAAAAUACAUUGCAUUUCAUAAUAGAUAUAUAGACUAACUACUAGGUGCAUAAAUUAUAUCACAUCAGGCUGUGACCUCUCUCGUCAGCUAGGUAUACAAAAUAUUAUGACUAAGUACUAUUUAUUAGCAUGAAAUUACUGACAAGUCUUAUAUCAAGGCAUAAUAGAUAUUCACAUAAUUAUCAAAUCAAUGUAUAUCACAUCGAAUAGAAUUUAGUUCAAUAGAAUGCGAGUGCAAAUUCAAUAAUAAAUGAGUACUCGGAAAAUAAGCAACAUAUAUAAAUAUUCAAGAAAUUAACUAGUCGUAUUCAUCAUAAAAUCAACAUACAUAUUUAUUUAUAUUACAUACAUAUUAAAGAUUAUCUCACUCACCCGAAAAAUAUAAAACUAAAACGAAUAUAAGAUAAAAAACCCGAAAAUACUAUUAAGGAUCGUUAGGAGAACCUACAACAAAUAUACGAUAUAUAAAUAAAAACAAAACAAAUAAAAGAUUCCGAUGCAUAAGAGAAAACCAGAUUUAGUCGCCUAAGUUUAGGGACUAAAACAACAAUCUUCCAAAAACAGGGACCAAAACAUAAUUUUACCAAAAUUGGAGGACAAAUUGUAAAUACAUAACCAUAUUGAAAUUUCACCCGUAAACCACCCUUAAUUCUGUCCAGAAAUAAACCAGGGACCGAAAUGUAAUCUUUUUAAAGUUCAGGGACUAAAAUGUAAAUUUCCAAAAUUGAGGGACCUAACUAAAAAUAUUCUAAAUCAAUUGUCAAACUAAGAUUCAUCAUCCUUAACCUCAUAAUAAUUCUACCCAGAAUCCCAAAAUACAUUUAGGGGUCAAAUUAUAAUUUUUCAAAAUUUAAGGACUAAAUUGUAUUUUUUUUCACAAAUUAAAGACCAAAAUAAAAUUUCAUGAUCUUUAACCUCAAGAAAUACUAUUUAGGUUUUCCAGAAAAUUUAAACAAAUUUCUUAACUCAUAACACAUCAAUUAAUCUUAAGAACAUAAACUUCAAAUCUUAAAUCAAACUUAACCAACAUAAUCAAUCAUAAAACAUCAAAAUCAUACCUUCUUUCAAAACAAAAUACUUCAUCCCCCUAUUGCAAGAAUCUAGCCUUCAACAAAAAGUCCUCAACCUUUAAAAAGACCUCUCAACCUCCUGCAUACAAUCUUAUAUAGGUUGUGUGAGGGACAAGGAUAGUUAGUUGAGCAUGCUCCACUAACCAACACAAUUAAAUGCAUCAUUUUAGUGGAACACUUAAUUUGCAAGACCUAAACUUUUGGCCCAAACCCAAGCUCAAAUCAGCCCAAAUCCAACUUAAAUUAACCUAGAUAUAUAAAGAAAAGUUGCAAGAAAAUUAUUUUUCUCUCUUUUAAUUCUCGUGGCUGUUGUAACCCUCCCCUCAUCAAACCAAGAAUUUCAGUUUUUGAUCUUGAGUUUUUUAGGUUCAAGAAAGGUGAAAGUAACAAGUAAGUGGUUCUUUCUCAUGUUACUUUCGAUUAUGAUUUUUUUAUAGAAGGAUUAAAGAAGAGAUUAGGGUUUAUAAAGAUUUGAAAUUUAUGUUGUUAAGAUUGAUUCAUAAUUAUUAUGGGUUUAAGGUUAAGUGAUUGAUUUUGGUAGAAAUAAAAAUUGUGAAUUGAUUUGUUUAAUUGAUUUAUUAUGGGUUAAGAAAUUUGCUUCAACUUUGCUGGAAAAAAUUACAAUUUAGUCUCUGGAAUGUAAAUUGAGUUUCUGGAUAGAAUUGAAGAUGAAUUAUGGGUAAAAUUUCAGUAUAAUUAUGUAUUUCUGACAUUUACAGUUUGGUCAUCCAUUUCUGGUAAAAUUUUGCAUUAGUUCCUAAUUUUUAAAAAUUGUCGUUUUAGUCCAUAAACUUAGGAGACUAAACCUGGUUUCCUUUUAUGCAUUGGAGUCUUUUAUUUGUGUUAUUUUAAGUUGUUUAUAUAUAUAUAUUCGUUGUAGUUCUAAUAAUUCUCGAUAGGAUUUUUGAGUUUUUCAUCUAAUAUUUCUUUUGCUUUUAUAUUUUUUGGGUGAGUAAGAUAAUCUUUAAUAUACAUGUAAUAUAUAAAAAAAUAUGUAUGUUGAUUAUAUGAUGAGUACGACUAGUUAAUUUCUUGAAUAUUUAUAUAUGUUGCUUUAUUUUCCGAGUGUUCAUCUAUUAUUAAAUUUGCACCCGCAUUCUGUUGAACUAAAUUUUAUUCGAUAUGAUAUAUAUUGCUUUGAUAAUUAUGUGAAUAUCUAUUGUGCCUUGAUAUAGGACUUGUUAGUAACUCCAUGCUAACAUAGAGUAGUUAGCCUAUAUGCACAUAGUAUUCUGUAUACUUAGCUGGUAAGAGAGGCACCAGCCUGUGGUGACUGAUCCUCCCAUAGUGAUCACCUUCGGGUGUCAAUGUAAUGAGUUUAUAGAUUAUUGUUUUUGUUCGAUAUCUUAGACGCUCUAUUAUUAUCUUGUUUUAAUUAAGUUUGGAUUUUGACAAUGUAAUGAGUAUUAUAGAUUAUUGUUUUUGUUUUAAUUACUGAUGAGAAGUUUUGAACUAUCAUUUGGUUUCAUUAGUUUGGAAUAAUAUAAUAUUUUAGAAGAUUAUAAAAUGCUAUAUGUUCUUAAAUAACUUGUUCUUUCACAAAUCCGUUUAAAGACAUAACGUAGGUGGGGUGUCCUUACAAUAUUGCUCAUGCGUUGCCGGUCAUGGACCUGAGAUUCAGGUCGUGAUAUAAUUGUUUUAGUGCUCCACGUUAGUGGUGCACUAAAUUGUGUGAGUGCUCUUGUUAAGUGGGGCACUCCAUAAUAAUUAAUUGUUUUUAGGUAUGUUAUAACAUAGAGUAACUAAGUAUCCUCUGUUAGUUUGGAGUUUUUUACAACAGUCUAAAUGGGGUAAUAAGAAUCAUGAGCUCAAAUAAACAAAUAACAUGGAUAUAGUGUUCAUGGUUUAUCAUCAAGAUUCAAAAUGCAAGCAUGAUAACAUUUGAACAAAUAUAAAGGUUAUAUGGACCAUGUUCAAAUCAAACAAGCAUAUGAUAAGUACUUAAGAAGAAAACAAAAUAAUAAUAACAAUAACUAAUUAGCCUUAUAUAAUCAACAAUAGCAAUAAUACUCAUCAUUUCAUGCCAAUACACACACACACACAUAAUGCAUAAUAGAAAUUAUCUCACUCAAUCGGAAAAUAAAGCAAAAAAAUAAACAAAUACAAAACUAGAGAUUACUGAGACUCGCUACGAGACCAUUAGCAAAACCUGUAACGGAUAUGAAAAAAACUAAAAAAAGACUCAAAGCAACAUAACAUAAAAGAUAAAAACCCUAAACUUAGAGACUAAAUCGUAAUAAUAAAGAUAAGUUGAUUCACUCGAUCGAUUCUGAAUAUAACCCAAACUGAUUGAACCUAACAAACCCGAUUAACCACCACUACAGGGUCAAGUAGUCGAUCGGAUUAACCAAUGGGUCAACUAGUUGGUUGUGAUUUUUAAGAUCUUUGGUAUUUUCAAGAUCUCGACCUACAAGUCGAAAAAUCUAUAGAACCAAAAAAUAAUAGACAUUAUGUUUUCAACAAACCCAUAAUCUAGACAUCAACCCACUUUGUUUCAAUCCAACUAAUCACCCUAAAACAUCAAUUAAUUUCCUUAAUUUAUUAGAUCAUCAAAUCAAUAUAAAAACCCUAAUUUCUUUAUUGAUCAUUCCAUAAACAACCCAAAAAUAAAAAAUAACAUAAGAGGGAAACACUCGUUAUUUUCACAUUUCUUAAACUCAUGGAUGUGAUGUGCCGAAACACGUGUCUUGUAACCUUGAGAAUUGUUUGUGGAUGCAUAACAUUAUAUGCAUCUCCUAUACAGCCUGCGAUCAGGAUAUUCAACUUGUUCUAUGGAUUACAGUCUUGGAUGCUCAAAAUCUUUAAUUUGGUCCCUACCAAAACCAAUCCGAUCGAACUCCUAAAGAGCGUCUCUUAUCCCAAAAAGCAAGUGAAGUUGAUUCAUUGUAAGAGUACAAUAAGGUUUGUAACUACGAGAAAAAUACUGAAGUUGAAUAUUUCUUUCUUCUAGUUAUUGCCGACUGAAAUGGCAGGCGCCAUACAUCAAAUUGGAUUUCUUCAUAUCACAUCAGCACAUGAUAUGAAUUCCAAAAAUGAAAGGGAAAUCAAUGAGUAUCCAUGCCAGGAACCCUUAAUAUUUCCUUUUGUUAUUGCUAGAAAGCUACUUAGUACUUGCAUGAAAGCUUCAUCAUAUGGUCCUACAGAAUCUAAUUCAUCGAAUGCUCUACAACUUUCCAAGGACAUUUUUGUUGUCAUAAACAAAUCACGUGGAACAAUCUUCACUCUUUUUUUCCAAUUAUUCCUUUUUAAUUGACUUUGAAUUUUUAUUUUAUUUUUAUAAGACCACAAGAUACAUGCGCGAUCAAGACUAAGUUUUUUUCUUAAACAAUUUAAAAAAUACACUCUCAUAUCGAUUUAAUGUAUUAAAAUAAUAAUAAUAAAGUUCUCUGUCUAUAUACCGGCUUCUUCAAGAUUCAAAUUUAAAAGUAAGAAAAUAAAAUAUAUCUCUUUAACUAUCAUACCAUUGAAUUUAUAGAAAUUUAUUCCUUGUUUAUUGUAACUAUUUAGUGAAUUACUCGAGACAAAUUUAAAAGACUUUGAUUUCAAAUAUGGAGUCGUGGGAUCUGUGCGUUGAUAAAUUAACAGUACAAAUGAAAUGAACAAGAAUAAAAAAUAAGAAGUUAGUCUCUACUAAUGUCAAUGUCAUUGAACUUUCAUUGACAAUUUCCAACCAAAACUCUCCUCCAUUCCAUUUUAAAGCUUUAUUGGUCAAAGAUUGGAACAAAUUUCGAUAUCUUUGUUUAUGGAAGGUUGAAGGAUCUACUAGAAACAUAUGUCAAAGAAGCUUUUCAAGUCUUAACUUGUCAGCCUAGCUCGGUAAACAGAGUAGUCAGCUUCCACCAAAACCACCGUUAGGGGAAGCUCCUUCUUUGAAUGUACAAACCCCUGACAAAAUCUGUUUAUUUUACGUCUUUUCUGCCUUUCUAGUUCUUUAUUCUCUGAAUCUGUUUUUCUCAGAGGUUGUCAAGAAUGGUCAGCAUGAGCAUGAUCCCAGUUCUUGUUUUUCUCUUGUCGGUCUCUUAUUCCCUGUUGUUUCUAGCUCCCUUUUGCCAUGCUGCCAAUAAUACACUCACAAUAGGCCAAUCACUAAAAGAUGGUGAGACCUUGAUAUCAGUUGAUGAGAACUUUGAACUGGGAUUCUUUAGCCCUGGAAAUUCUAGUUUAAGAUAUGUCGGUAUAAGGUAUUACAAGAUUCAGGAUCAGGCUGUCAUCUGGGUUGCUAAUAGAGAAAAACCAAUCUCCGGUAGCAAUGGAGUCUUGAGGAUAGGUGAAGAUGGGAAUUUGUUGGUUACAGAUGGAAAUGGAAGUCCAGUUUGGUCGAGCAAUGCUUCAGUAGUUUCUAGUAACACAGCAGCGAUGCUUGAUGUUACAGGUAAUCUUAUUCUCUCGAGCAAUGAUAGUAUUGGUGAGACAGAUAAAGCCUAUUGGCAAAGCUUCAAUAAUCCAACCGAUACCUAUUUGCCACACAUGAAAGUUCUUGUAAGUACUGCAGAGAUUCAUGUCUUCACUUCAUGGAAAUCUGCAAAUGAUCCUUCACCAGGAAAUUUCACCAUGGGAGUUGAUCCUCGCGGAACACCUCAGAUAGUUGUUUGGGAGGGAUCGAGGAGAAGGUGGAGAAGUGGGCACUGGAAUGGAAUAAUAUUCUCAGGUGUUCCGUAUAUGAAAGCUUUUACCACUUACCAAUAUGGAUUUAAGUUUUCUCCUGAAAGCGAUGGAAACUUUUAUGUUACAUACAAUCCAUCAGAUAAUUCUGAAUUCUUGAGGUUUCAGAUAACUUGGAAUGGAUUUGAAGAGACGAAAAAGUGGAAUGAAAGUGCAAAGACGUGGCAAGUAAUUCAAGCACAACCUUCUGAAGAGUGUGAGAAUUACAAUUACUGUGGCAAUUUUGGAGUCUGUACUCCAUCAGGAUCUCCCAAAUGCAGAUGCAUGGAAGGGUUUGAGCCAAGGCAUCCAGAUCAGUGGAGACUAGGAAAUUGGUCAGGCGGAUGUGGAAGAAGGUCUCCUUUACAGUGCCAGAGGAACACUAGUAGUGGUGGAGAAGAUGGGUUCAAAACAGUAAGGUGCAUGAAGUUGCCUGAUUUUGCAGAUGUGAAGUCGAUCUCCUUGGAUGCUUGCAGAGAAAUGUGUCUAAAUAACUGUUCAUGUAAGGCAUAUGCGCACGUCAGUGAGAUUCAAUGCAUGAUAUGGAAUGGAGACUUGAUUGAUGUUCAGCAUUCUGUCGAAGGUGGGGACACCCUGUACUUGCGUCUCGCAGAUUCUGAAUUAGGUAAACUCUCUCCCAUUGUUGUAUUCAUAUAGAAGUAGUUAGAAUUACAACUUCAAGUUUAUUGCUAUCAUCAUUGAAAAUAAAAAGGCCUGUUGAAUUAGUCUUUGAUCCAGCAGUCCUUUCUGGGUUUAGCAACUCAGUUAUGGCCUCAGGAAAGCUCCAAAUUGUAACACACAAUCCAAGUUUCUUUACUUCUUCUGAUCAUCAUUUUGUCUUAACAAAAAUCCCAAAACGUGCAGACCAUGAUCAUGAAAAGGUUAAGAUGCAGAGUCAAGUUUCUAGUCAGUAAAUCUGGUUUGUCGUGAUAAUGAACUAAGUGAAUUAGAUGAAGAAAAAGAUAUGAAAUCCUGUAACAGUUUAUUCAAGUUACCUUUUUAUGUUGGAUAUCUUCUGAUUUGUUUCUCGAUAUAGAUCGCAGCAGGAUGUCUAUGUAUGUGAUAAUACUAAUAGUUUUGGCUGGACUGGCCUUCCUAGCCAUAUCUAUAUGGCUUCUGUGGAUGCUCAAAAAAAGACUCAAAGGUAAGAAUCUCAGUUUCAUGCUUGGUUAAGAGAUCUCUUCCGUCUUGAUCAAGAAAUGACAUCUUACCUUCUUAAUUUUUAUCUUCAGUUUUGCCAGCGGCUACCUCAGCUUGCACAUCGACAAAAUGCGAAUUCCCAGUUUAUGAUCUCAGCAAAAGUAAAGAGUUCGCAUCCGAUGCUUCUGGAUCUGCCGACCUUGUUAUAGAAUUGUGCCAAGUAAAUGGUUCAGAUUUGCCAAUGUUGAGUUUCAACUGUGUAGCAGCUGCAACAGACAAUUUUUCUGAAGAAAACAAGCUUGGACAGGGAGGAUUUGGCCUCGUCUACAAGGUGAGUAUUUAUGUUGUACAUGUAUCAGAAUAUAACAGAAGCUGAAUUCAAGUACUAAAGCUUAGUAUUGCUCAUAUUAAUUAAUAGGGAAAGCUUCCUGGAGGAGAGGAAAUAGCUGUAAAGAGGCUUUCAAAUAUCUCUGGCCAAGGCUUACUGGAAUUCAAGAAUGAAAUUAUUCUGAUUGCCAAAUUGCAGCACAGAAAUCUUGUUCGAUUAUUAGGAUGCAGCAUUCAGGGUGAUGAGAAGAUGCUCAUUUAUGAAUAUAUGCCAAAUAAAAGCCUGGAUUACUUCCUUUUUGGUGAGUUCUUCCUUAUAUUUAGUGCUUAAUAGAAAAGGAUUGUCAAAGCUCAAAACAAUGAUUUGUACCAGGCUUGUUAAUUGUUUCUGAUUCCUGUGAUCGCAAUGGCAGAUCCCGAGAAGCAAGCUCUAUUAGACUGGAGUAAACGUUUCGCAAUUAUUGAGGGGAUUGCCAGAGGUCUUCUUUAUCUCCAUAGGGAUUCAAGACUAAGAAUCAUUCAUCGGGACCUAAAGGCUAGUAACAUUUUGUUGGAUGAAGAAAUGAACCCAAAGAUUUCCGACUUCGGCAUGGCCAGAAUAUUUGGGGGAAACCAAAGUGAAAUAAACACAAACCGAGUUGUAGGAACAUAGUAAGUUUGAUAUCUAUGAGAUUGCUCGUGUUAAACUCUAAUCAACAAUAUGAUUUUUCUGACUGUCACUUGUAUCUUGCAGUGGUUAUAUGGCACCUGAAUAUGCAAUGGAAGGCCUAUUUUCAGUGAAGUCUGAUGUUUAUAGCUUUGGAGUACUACUCCUAGAGAUUGUGAGUGGCCGAAGGAAUACUAGCUUCCGUCAAACAGAACGCAUGAUCCUCAUUGCUUAUGUAAGUACAUGCAAAAUGUCACCAAUUUAGGCUCUGGUUUGAGAUACAACACAACGUUUUUUACUGCUAUUUUUUCACUCACCUGAUCCAAUUUCCGACUGAUUGCAGGCAUGGGAUCUUUGGAAUGAAGGUAAGACAAUGGAGAUAGUUGAUCCUUCCAUCCGAGAUUCAUGUGAUGAAAACGAAGUGCUGAGAUGCAUACAAAUCGGCAUGUUGUGUGUGCAAGAUUCUGCACUUCAUAGACCAAGCAUGGCAUCAGUUGUGGUAAUGCUGGAGAGCUGCACAACAAACAUUCCAUUGCCUAGACAACCAAAUUUCACUUCUGUCAGGGCCUCUAUAGACCCUGAAAUUUCUCUGGAAGUGCAUGAAGUAGCAUUGUCAAGCUAAUAACACUCACAAAACACACUUCGACGUAGCAUAUCAUUGCUGUAAUUUUCUGGUACAAAACUCACACAAGGAAGGGCUUACAAUGGAGGAAGACACACACAAACUGCUGCUGUUUCUUCUUCUCUGUUACUUCCCCGGUUUCUGCUCACUUUCGACUGCUACCCACUGCCCUUCUCUCAAUAAUUUCAGCUCCAUGUAACCUACCACUUGGAAAAAAUAAUACACUUAACACACAUUCAACUCUAGCUAACAUUAAGCUAACUCUAGCCAACUAGCCUUACAGCACAGUAACAUUAACAGUUGGUCCUGUCGGAAAAAAAGAGAUGAUAUUUGUAUAGGUAUUUUGUCAAUCAAUUUCUUACAUAAACAAAAACAAUUUUUUGUGGUCUAUAAAUUGAUCCUAUUGUUUGUUUUAAUUUAACCUUUUAAUGUGCUCUAAGGAGAAAAUUCAGCGUUAACCAUUGAGGUAGUGGAUUGAGAGCAGACUCAUCACAGGUUUAGGCCAAGAGCUCUUUCACAAGCAGAAACUGUUCCCAAUCAUCUGUGCAAACCAGCCACCAUUGUUUACCACAAUUUAAUUGUAAAAUGAGACUUCAAUGCUUGUUGCAAGCUAAGGAAGAAAUGUAAUGUGGAUGUACCAUGAGUGACACAUGCUUAAAAACUGCAUAUCCUGUCGAUAAUCACCACCUGUAAGUAUAAAACGAUUACUAUUAUAAGUUGAUAAGUGUCACGACCCGAAUCCCGGAUCCAUGACCGACACAUAGGCAAGGUUCCCCUCAAAGGUUCCAUACCUAUGCGAACCCAAACUUACACACAAACUUAUCCUAACUCAAUCAGAGUUCAACGCAGCAUUAAUAACAAAAUCAACUUCAUAAUAUAAUUGAAUUGUCUUAAUACAAGAGUUAAUAUAAUGCAGAGUUUUGGAGCACUAACUUGACAUUAAAGGAAGGUACAAAUUACAACCAAAAAGCAGGUUCGGAAGGUUCAACAAAAUGACCUGCUAUCAAGCUAUAAGCCUGAAAAGGAUAAAUAAUGAGAUGGUGAGUUCAACAACUCAGUGAGUAGAUAACGUUCAAUAUACACACACGAGGUAAUAAAACAAUGAGAAAUAUAUAUACAAGUAUGGCUUUAGGUUCUUAUGGAAAUGUUUCUCAAAUUGACCAUAACAAGAAUGUCAUAUGGUAAAACUCGUCAGAAAAUCAAAUGCAAUGAGCAUGAGGCUCCGUACUGUGGGAUGAUCAGUCCACACAGGUUGGUGACUCCCUCGACCAACUAGGGUUCAGAUACAAUGUGCACAAAGACUAACACUACCCUGUUAGCAUGGGUAUUCUGACUGACAUACCAUAGGUUCAUAAUCAUAAUCUAACAAACAUAUUCAUAUCUCAAAGCUCAACUCAUGACAUCAAUAAAAUGAAGAGCUAUCAAUUCAGAGGUCAAUUCAAAAUAUAUGUUGGUUCAUAUCAAGAAUUCAGAUUCAAUAAUUGAUCAUGCUUUAUCAUAACAAGGAUAAUAAUCAACAUAUAUAUUAUUAAGAAGCAUGAUUCAAUUCAUAUUAACAAAUCAAAUAUUUAUACUAUUUCUCAUGCAUAUGGAAAAUUAUCCACUCAUCUGACUCGAAAGCAACAAAACUCAAAGCUGAUAUCGAAGGAAAUCCUACUGACGUCCCGCCGGUAGAAUAUCAGGAUUAUCUGAAUACAAAUGAGACAUGUUCAAGAAUGACUCAAAAAAACAUAUAACCUAUUUAAUACACUUAUCUAAGGGUGUAUUCCAUAACCCUAUAUGUUUUUGAACUAACUAGUCAAUUUUCUCAAAAACCCAAAAUUUAACGGUUUUCCCGAAAUCUAAUCCAUAAUAAAACAACUAAUAAAAUUGAUAAUAAUUCACUAAAUAACCCUCAAUUAUUCAUCAAAUCAAUCUGCAAAAAUUAAUAUUACAGCUAGGGACUAAUCUGUAAUUUAUCCUAUUUUUAAGGGUCAAAUUGCAACUUUUGUCAAAUUGAAGGACCAAACUGAAAUUUGUCAUAAAUCCAUUACUAUACUGAAUUUCUGACCAUAAUUAGUCCUCAUUUCUGUCCAGAUCAUCUCAUUAUACUCCAAGGACCAUUCUGGAAUUUUACCAAAUUUUUAGGGUCAAAUUGUAAUUUUUGUCAAAUUGGAGGACUAAAUUGAAAGUGUUAAAAUUUCAUAACUAUACUAGAAUUCUGCCCUUAAUUCAUAUAUUAUUCUGUUCAGAAUCUCGGAAUAGGCUCCAGGGACCAAUCUGUAAAUUUUCCAAAGUUUGGGGACUAAAAUGUAAUUUUCCAAAAUUGAGGGACCAAACCGAAAUUGUCAUCUUCAACCUCAAACCCAGAAUUCUCACAGAUUACCUACUGUUCUUGCCAAAUUUCUAACUCAACAUUCACCAUUUACACAAUUCAUAACUCAAAAUCAUCACAAUCUUCCAUAAUCAACUCAUUAAUCAAUUACCCAUAACAAUCAACCUUAUAACAUUCAAUUUAAUUCAUCAAUUAACCCAAAACACAAAUUUUCAAAACCCUAACAUUCAUCAAAACUGAAAUUAAAGCUUAAUUAACACAUAUUUAUACAUAAUCUUACCUUUAAACUUAUUUUCUUCAACUCCUUUCUAUUUCCCUUCUAAUUUCCCUCUUUUCUCUUCUUCUUCUUCUUUCUCCCUUCUCUCUCACGGUUUGCUCUCUCAAAUAUUCAGAUCUCCUUUUUUUUUUCUUCUUUCUAUUUAUAUUUAUCAUCUCUUUAUUCAAUUACUACUAUACCCCUCAUUCAUUUAUUCCAAC